RNAcentral lists this ribosomal RNA (519 nucleotides) under uncultured bacterium. RNAcentral describes it as "bacterial SSU rRNA". It matches the Rfam family "Bacterial small subunit ribosomal RNA", at positions 10 to 518 of the family's 1533-position model. The record is from RNAcentral.
AGUUUGAUUAUGGCUCAGAUUGAACGCUGGCGGCAGGCCUAACACAUGCAAGUCGAACGGUAACGGGAAGAAGCUUGCUUCUUGCUGACGAGUGGCGGACGGGUGAGUAAUGUCUGGGAAACUGCCUGAUGGAGGGGGAUAACUACUGGAAACGGUAGCUAAUACCGCAUAACGUCGCAAGACCAAAGAGGGGGACCUUCGGGCCUCUUGCCAUCGGAUGUGCCCAGAUGGGAUUAGCUAGUAGGUGGGGUAACGGCUCACCUAGGCGACGAUCCCUAGCUGGUCUGAGAGGAUGACCAGCCACACUGGAACUGAGACACGGUCCAGACUCCUACGGGAGGCAGCAGUGGGGAAUAUUGCACAAUGGGCGCAAGCCUGAUGCAGCCAUGCCCGCGUGUAUGAAGAAGGCCUUCGGGUUGUAAAGUACUUUCAGCGGGGAGGAAGGGAGUAAAGUUAAUACCUUUGCUCAUUGACGUUACCCGCAGAAGAAGCACCGGCUAACUCCGUGCCAGCCGCCGC